UGGGGAAUCUUGCGCAAUGGGCGAAAGCCUGACGCAGCAACGCCGCGUGGAGGAUGAAGGCCCUUGGGUUGUAAACUCCUGUCGGCUGGGAAGAAAUCGCGCGGUGCUCAUACCAUCGCGCGUUGGCUGUACCAGCAAAGGAAGCCCCGGCUAACCCUGUUCCAGCAGCCGCGGUAAUACAGAGGGGGCCAGCGUUAUUCGGAAUUAUUGGGCGUAAAGGGCGCGUAGGCGGCCACGCGUGUCUUUCGUGAAAUCCCUCGGCUUAACUGAGGACGUGCGGAAGAAACUGCGAGGCUCGAGUCCGGGAGAGGGGGGUGGAAUUCCCAGUGUAGCGGUGAAAUGCGUAGAUAUUGGGAGGAACACCGGUGGCGAAGGCGGCCCCCUGGACCGGUACUGACGCUGAUGCGCGAAAGCGUGGGGAGCAAAC
RNAcentral lists this ribosomal RNA (427 nucleotides) under uncultured bacterium. Its description in RNAcentral is "bacterial SSU rRNA". It matches the Rfam family "Bacterial small subunit ribosomal RNA", at positions 355 to 773 of the family's 1533-position model. The record is from RNAcentral.